GUAUUGAGCACCACAGGUGCAGCAGAGAAAUGGGUUACACCAAGGUGAGCUAUGGCGGAAUAAACAGCCUUUGCAGUUACCUGUCUAAGGCAUAUGUUGGUCCCACAAAUUGCUGCAAGUGUCCAAGUGAAACACCAACCAUUACAGUGAAACAUUGGUAGAGUCCAAAGGUACACAGCUCCCUCUUUCAUACUCCAAACAACGGCGUUACUUAAAGCCAUAAGAUAUGCACCACGAUGAUGAAGCACCACUCCUUUAGGACUAGCUGUCGUACCAGAAGUAUAGCCCAGAGCAAUACUCUGCCACUCAUCCUGUGGUGGCUUCCAUAGGAAGUCUGGGUCACCAGUUUCCAAGAAAUUAUCAUAUUCAACUGCCCCUUUAUCUAAAGCAUAUUGAAGUGGGGCGGGAUCACAAUUUUUAUCAGCGAUAACUACAAUAAGUGGUCGAUUUGAUUUUCCUUGACUCUUAUCUUCUAGAAUUUUUAAAGCUUCCUCAGCCAAUGGAAAGAAUUCUUGGUCCACCAUGACAACUGCAGCUGAGCAAUGGCCCAAAAGAAAAGCAAUUGUGUCUGCAUUUAAACGAACAUUGACAGCAUUUAGAACAGCUCCAGCCAUUGGAAUUCCAAAAUGAGCUUCAUACAUAGCAGGAACAUUUGGUGCAAUCACAGCAACGGUGGUUCCGAAAGUGAUGGAGCGUUUGGUAAGAGCAGAAGCCAGUUGAGAGCAACGGCGAUAAGUCUGAAGCCAUGUGUAUUGAACAGAGCCAUGAAUUAAUGAUUUUCUGUUAGGAUAAAUCAUGGCGGCCCUUUCCAAGAAGGAUAAGGGCGUGAGAGCUGUGUAGUUCGCCGCAUUCUUUGGAAGAUGAUCGAUAUCUCUCUCCACCACCAUUCUCU
This 892-nucleotide unclassified non-coding RNA is filed under the name Hevea brasiliensis (rubber tree). Lineage: Eukaryota; Viridiplantae; Streptophyta; Magnoliopsida; Malpighiales; Euphorbiaceae. The record is from RNAcentral.